Molecule: non-coding RNA, 1914 nt
Organism: Cyanistes caeruleus (blue tit)
Lineage: Eukaryota; Metazoa; Chordata; Aves; Passeriformes; Paridae
Source: RefSeq, a predicted model, not a curated record
UCAUGUGGUUUAUGUAGGUUAACAGUGUGAACAGCUUGAUAACAGACUUCUAUAACCUCUUAUUUUAAAAUAGUUUUCUAGAACAGCCUGUUAAGACACUUAGCAGUGUAUUAAAUUUUGGUCCUCACCCUACCCCAGAAUAGUAUCUUCACUUAUUUUCCACUGGGUGAAAUCUUCUAUCAGUUUGCGUGUAAACUGUCCAGUAUUUCUCCUUAGUUUUACUGGGCUCUUCAAAGAGCCCACCUCUGAACCUCUCUUCCACAGCGUUCCUCCACUCGUGCCCGUGAUGCCUGCGCACCAGUACAAUGUGGCGCCAGGUUGUUCCUUAGCCCCGCUCUCCAUACACAGCCCUCUGCAGUGGUGGCUGGUGCCAUCAGCCCUCUCAUCCUCGGGGUGCCCCAGCAGGUACCACCAGACUCCAGUGAAUCCUCCGGAGGCUAAGAUGCCCUGGAGGCCACGCAGCGGGUAGUGCCAGCCCCCGCAGCCCAGCAUUCCCAGGCAGCGGCACAGCUUGGUGCUGCCAGCAGCGUGGCUGCUGUGCUGCCGCAUCUUCUGCCAUGUGCGUGCACCAAAUCAGUUCUCAGGUUAAACCACAGGAUGCAGGAUUACGAAGUCAUUCAUUCAAGGAGUACAGCAGGAUAAACUGUAAAAAUCUCCAUGUUCCAAAACGUACAGGAGAAGAUACAACUUCUUUUCGGUCUGUCUGAUCUCUGUAGGACUGACUGCGAGCUAAAGGCACCUAAGGAAGUUAUCUGCAUCCUACUGAAUCAAGAAAACAGGGAAGAUUAAACUAGUUGAUUAGACUGUGAAUUAUCACAAAUAAUUAACAAAGCAAAAGGAAGAUUUAAAGAUUACAUGACUCCAAAUGUUUUAUUGCUUUUAUUCAUAUAUAAAUACUAAUCGACUUUGCAAUGCUACAGUUCUUAAUUGGUGUGAAUACAGAUGUCUUUCUGCAGGAAAGCAUUUUAACCUGAGGUGCUCUUGCAGUUCUGUUGUUUUCCUCAUGUGUGUUAAUUCACCAUUUACAUUCAGACCCAAGCCUGUGAUUUAUUGUCUGAGUUAGAACCUAUUUUUUCAGCUAGUCUGGUCUGUCAUUCAUUAGGCUUUUUGAGGAAAUAUAUGCCGACAGACUUCACCUCUACCUAAAAGUAAAAUGCGUUUUUUGAAAACAAAGAAUUAACACUUAUUUGAUGCCACAAAACACAAGAGAAGUACACACUCUCAAUUAUACACAUUUUUCUUACUUACAGGGAAUAUGUAACAGAACAAUGCUUAAGGAAAUUUCAGACUAACUGUAACAAGGUGCAAAAAAAUAAUUCAUCAACCUACUAUAAAAGAAAACCACAAACUGUACAUGACCUCUUGAUAAAGCUAUUACUAAAACCCCAUUUGCCAUUGUUAACCAUCCCAUUUUACUAUGUAUUAGGAAUGUCUUUGUCCCAAUAAUGACUACACACUAUGUCAAAUAGGAAGAAGUAUGGACAGAAAUCCUUAACCUGUAAUUCUACAUAGAUGUGCACACAGGAAUUCUGCCUAUGGCUAGAAAGAGGAGUUACCAAAUUAAUUGAUUCACAAGUGUAAAGCUGGAUACUAUAUCAAUGCUCUUUGGAGAAUUUAGCAACAGGGAAUUACACACAACCUUUGAAUGCUGAAGUUCAUUAGUGCUUGCAUCUCAUAUUGAUGAGCUUCAUAUAAAGGAAUGGAGGAACAGCCUCAAGAAUAUGGCAGUCAAGCAGAAGUUGAAUUUUCAAAGGAAACUGUCAGUUGAUGCAUGAUGAAAUGGAAUUAGAAGAAGAAUGACAUGUCUUUGGCUACACUUGAAUGGAACAGUAGUUGAGAAUAUAAUCAGAGAAAAGAACAAGAACUUUCUGAGGCUGUAAACAAUGAUAUACACAGGCUUAAUAAAGUGUCACA